AGUGAACGCUGGCGGUAGGCCUAACACAUGCAAGUCGAACGGCAGCACAGUAAGAGCUUGCUCUUACGGGUGGCGAGUGGCGGACGGGUGAGGAAUACAUCGGAAUCUACUUUUUCGUGGGGGACAACGUAGGGAAACUUACGCUAAUACCGCAUACGACCUACGGGUGAAAGCAGGGGACCUUCGGACCUUGCGCGAUUGAAUGAGCCGAUGUCGGAUUAGCUAGUUGGCGGGGUAAAGGCCCACCAAGGCGACGAUCCGUAGCUGGUCUGAGAGGAUGAUCAGCCACACUGGAACUGAGACACGGUCCAGACUCCUACGGGAGGCAGCGGUGAGGAAUAUUGGACAAUGGGCGCAGACCUGAUCCAGCCAUACCGCGUGGGUGAAGAAGGCCUUCGGGUUGUAAAGCCCUUUUGUUGGGAAAGAAAAGCAGCAGGUUAAUACCCCGCUGUUCUGACGGUACCCAAAGAAUAAGCACCGGCUAACUUCGUG
RNAcentral lists this ribosomal RNA (492 nucleotides) under uncultured bacterium. Its description in RNAcentral is "partial 16S ribosomal RNA". It matches the Rfam family "Bacterial small subunit ribosomal RNA", at positions 29 to 507 of the family's 1533-position model. The record is from RNAcentral.